UACGAAGGUGUCUAACGUUGUCCGGAAUAACUGGGCGUAAAGGGCGCGUAGGCGGCCGCGUAAGUCAGAUGUGAAAGCUCCGGGCUCAACCCGGGAAUUGCAUUUGAAACUGCGUGGCUCGAGUUCGGUAGAGGAGGGCGGAAUUCCUGGUGUAGCGGUGAAAUGCGUAGAUAUCAGGAGGAACACCCGUGGCGAAGGCGGCUCUCUGGUCCGAUACUGACGCUGAGGCGCGAAAGCUAGGGUAGCAAACAGG
Molecule: ribosomal RNA, 253 nt
Filed under: uncultured bacterium
Lineage: Bacteria
Description: partial 16S ribosomal RNA
Rfam family: Bacterial small subunit ribosomal RNA
Source: RNAcentral